GUGCAUAACGAAAGGAGAGAACUUUGGCAAUCCCCUUGAGAAGGACGGAAUGAGCUUUUGCUCAAACUUACAGCACCUUGUGUGUUUGAAGGCACCGCUCUUAGGAGCAUCUAGGCAUAUUGCCACCAAUUUUUUUUU
This is a small nuclear RNA of Mucor circinelloides, 138 nucleotides long. The record is from Rfam. NCBI's taxonomy places the organism in Eukaryota, Fungi, Mucoromycota, Mucoromycetes, Mucorales, Mucoraceae.